AUGUCAGACCAAAGUGAUAGCCAGAACUUGUCAGAGCAGCAAGUGCAGAUGAGUGAGGGCACUAGUCCCUCAAGUUCCUCAGAUGAUGGCAGCAGGAGCACCCCUAGCAAUCUGCCUAAAGCUGCCACAAGACAGAGAAAGAAGAGAACCUCAGACUCGGAAGAUGAGGAUUAUGUGGCAGAAGAGGAAGCAACUUCCAAGAGAGUUGAGCCAGCACAGGGCAUAAAACCAGGGAUGAAGAUCAAAAGGCCAGCAGGCAGGCAGCCUAUGUCAAAGGCCAGAGCUUCAACUGAGAAGCCCACUCCCAUUGAGCCAGUUGCUGCUGAAGGCAAGAAGAGGAAAGAAAGGGUGAAGAAAACUGUAGCCAGAGUGCUUGGCAAGGCUUCCAUCAUGGAAGAUGAGGAGGAAGAAGAAGAGGUAGCUGCACCAGCACCUAAGGCACCCAAGCUGAUGGGUGAUGCCAUAAGAACAGGGGCAGCUGCUUCCAAGGCCAAGCCAUCUCCAAAGCCAAAGCCAAAGAGGAACACAAGAAGCAUCCUAGCUACUGAGAAGAACAAGGCCCCAGUGCCUGAAGCUGCAGAAGAAGAAGAAGAGAAUGUUCUUAGAAAGCUCAAGCCCAAGAUCCCAGACCACAACGAUGCUCAUCCUGUGGCUGAGGAUAUGAAACUCAGGAGAGAUUCAGGGCUCCGGAAGUGGAGAGAAGCAGACCCGUAUGCUUCAAGGAGAAGGACUGCAGUUGACUACAGGUUUCACACCAAGGAGUAG
Molecule: ribosomal RNA, 765 nt
Filed under: Triticum aestivum (bread wheat)
Lineage: Eukaryota; Viridiplantae; Streptophyta; Magnoliopsida; Poales; Poaceae
Description: partial small subunit ribosomal RNA
Source: RNAcentral